AUUAGGAUCUGCUACGCAAGCAGCUGGGCCCAUACCCCAAAAACGGAGUCAGUUCUCCUCCUAACA
RNAcentral lists this transfer RNA (66 nucleotides) under Pelturagonia nigrilabris (Blacklipped eyebrow lizard). RNAcentral's name for it is "tRNA-Met". Lineage: Eukaryota; Metazoa; Chordata; Lepidosauria; Squamata; Agamidae. The record is from RNAcentral.